GAGGAAUAUUGGUCAAUGGACGGAAGUCUGAACUAGCCAAGUAGCGUGCAGGAAGACGGCCCUAUGGGUUGUAAACUGCUUUUGUAUGGGGAUAAAGUUAGGGACGUGUCCCUAUUUGCAGGUACCAUACGAAUAAGGACCGGCUAAUUCCGUGCCAGCAGCCGCGGUAAUACGGAAGGUCCAGGCGUUAUCCGGAUUUAUUGGGUUUAAAGGGAGCGUAGGCUGGAGAUUAAGUGUGUUGUGAAAUGUAGACGCUCAACGUCUGAAUUGCAGCGCAUACUGGUUUCCUUGAGUACGCACAACGUUGGCGGAAUUCGUCGUGUAGCGGUGAAAUGCUUAGAUAUGACGAAGAACUCCGAUUGCGAAGGCAGCUGACGGGAGCGCAACUGACGCUUAAGCUCGAAGGUGCGGGUAUCAAACAGGAUUAGAUACCCUGGUAGUCCGCACAGUAAACGAUGGAUGCCCGCUGUUGGUACCUGGUAUCAGCGGCUAAGCGAAAGCAUUAAGCAUCCCACCUGGGGAGUACGCCGGCAACGGUG
This 539-nucleotide ribosomal RNA is filed under the name uncultured bacterium. RNAcentral describes it as "bacterial SSU rRNA". It matches the Rfam family "Bacterial small subunit ribosomal RNA", at positions 356 to 896 of the family's 1533-position model. The record is from RNAcentral.